This 484-nucleotide ribosomal RNA is filed under the name uncultured bacterium. Its description in RNAcentral is "bacterial SSU rRNA". It matches the Rfam family "Bacterial small subunit ribosomal RNA", at positions 28 to 532 of the family's 1533-position model. The record is from RNAcentral.
GAUGAACGCUAGCGGCAGGCUUAACACAUGCAAGUCGAGGGGUAUUGGUUUUCGGACCAAGAGACCGGCGCACGGGUGCGUAACGCGUAUGCAAUCUACCUUUUGCAGAGGGAUAGCCCAGAGAAAUUUGGAUUAAUACCUCAUAGUAUAGUACUUUGGCAUCAAGGAACUAUUAAAGUCACAACGGCAAAAGAUGAGCAUGCGUCCAUUAGCUAGUUGGUAAGGUAACGGCUUACCAAGGCUACGAUGGGUAGGGGUCCUGAGAGGGAGAUCCCCCACACUGGUACUGAGACACGGACCAGACUCCUACGGGAGGCAGCAGUGAGGAAUAUUGGACAAUGGGCGAAAGCCUGAUCCAGCAAUGCCGCGUGAGUGAUGAAGGCCUUAGGGUUGUAAAGCUCUUUUUACCCGAGAUGAUAAUGACAGUAUCGGAGAAUAAGCUCCGGCUAACUCCGUGCCAGCAGCCGCGGUAAAGUGACUACUG